CAAGUGGAGCGCAGAUACACUGUAUUCAGAGACAGCGCUCAUUUAAUCAGUGCAACCUGAUAUUUUAACCUGCUUUGACCUGUGCUACAAACUCACCGGCCCGGGGACUGGAACACGAGGCAACUUUGGCCUACACACACACACACACACACACACACACACACUAUUAAUACAGACACACACACACACACACACACACACACACACACACACACACACUAUUAAUACAGACACACACACACACACACACACACACACACACACACUAUUAAUACAGACACACACACACACACACACACACACACAGGCUACUAAUACAGAGACACAGACACACACACAGGCUUCUAAUACUGAGACAGACAGACACACACACACACACACCACACACACACUAUUAAUACAGACACACACACACACACACACACACAGGCCACUAAUACAGACACACACACACACACACACACACACGCAGCUACUAUACACACACAG
Long non-coding RNA from Ictalurus punctatus (channel catfish), 489 nucleotides. The record is from Ensembl. Lineage: Eukaryota; Metazoa; Chordata; Actinopteri; Siluriformes; Ictaluridae.